This 544-nucleotide ribosomal RNA is filed under the name uncultured Ascomycota. RNAcentral's name for it is "SSU rRNA". It matches the Rfam family "Eukaryotic small subunit ribosomal RNA", at positions 548 to 1098 of the family's 1831-position model. The record is from RNAcentral. Lineage: Eukaryota; Fungi; Ascomycota.
UUGGAGGGCAAGUCUGGUGCCAGCAGCCGCGGUAAUUCCAGCUCCAAUAGCGUAUAUUAAAGUUGUUGUGGUUAAAAAGCUCGUAGUUGAACCUUGGGCCUGGCUGGCCGGUCCGCCUCACCGCGUGUACUGGUCCGGCCGGGCCUUUCCCUCUGUGGAACCCCAUGCCCUUCACUGGGUGUGGCGGGGAAACAGGACUUUUACUUUGAAAAAAUUAGAGUGCUCCAGGCAGGCCUAUGCUCGAAUACAUUAGCAUGGAAUAAUAGAAUAGGACGUGUGGUUCUAUUUUGUUGGUUUCUAGGACCGCCGUAAUGAUUAAUAGGGACAGUCGGGGGCAUCAGUAUUCAAUUGUCAGAGGUGAAAUUCUUGGAUUUAUUGAAGACUAACUACUGCGAAAGCAUUUGCCAAGGAUGUUUUCAUUAAUCAGGAACGAAAGUUAGGGGAUCGAAGACGAUCAGAUACCGUCGUAGUCUUAACCAUAAACUAUGCCGACUAGGGAUCGGACGAUGUUAUUUUUUGACUCGUUCGGCACCUUACGGGAAAC